UUAUCUAUUGAGCACAAUGUCCGUUUUAAGUUUGGGGGUAUUUAUUAUGUUUAGUAUUUACUUGGGCAAUGUUUUGAUGGAAUUUGAUUUUGGCCAAUGAUAAGUGGGUGGUUGAUAUUGUUAACUCUUGGAGAAUUGAUGAGCAUGCUUAGUCUAUAUUUGAACUCAUUACUUGGUUUGCGAAAUUUUUGAAAAUUUUUACACAUAUCCAUUUGUUUAGCUAGUUGGGAUUGAAUUUGUUUGGCUAAAUGCUUAUGAAAGAUACCAUUGCAACUUGAGAAAUCUUAUUUGAGUAUCAUUCGAAGUGAAAAUUAGGCACUCACAUAAGUUUGGGGGAAAUCUUGGGGUAUUUAUGAAAAAAAAAUAUAAAAUUAUUGGAACCUUCCUGAGUUGAAUAAUUGAAUCUUGUGGUAGGUCGAGAUGGAGCGUAAAACGCACUCCCCAUAAACACAGGCAUGAGAUGGAGCGUAAAAUGCACUCGUUUAAUGGAAAGUGAGAUGGAGCGUAAAAUGUACUCACUAAAUAGAAAAAAAGAAAAUAUGCAUGUUUGAAAUACUUGGGAAGGGUUCUUACGUGCUAAAAAGUUUAAAUAUCCCGUUGAUCCUCAAGAAAAAUUUGUGCUAUGUCUAUAUUAGCGGUGAUUGAUAUGAUAAGAAGUUUUGAAAGUCAUUUUUGAAAAUCUUUUAUGAGUAUUGGUUGAUCUAUUCAAAAUCAUGACUGGUUUGAACAUAUGGAUGCACACACGCACUUAAAGGAUCAAGAGUAGAUGUGAAUCUAAUGAAAGUUGUUGAAAUUUUAGACAUGACAUUGUUUUGAAAUUUUCUACGGGUUAUCAUUUAUUAUAACCUUUGAGGCCAUUGAUCGAAUUCAUAUUGAUUCAUUUUUUGGGUGGAUCAUUGCUAGAGGAUGAAUCUGUCUAAUUUGUGUUUUUGCUUGAGGACAAGCAAUAAUUUAAGUUUGGGGGUAUUUGAUAAGUAGGUUUUACACCUACUUAUCCGGUAUCUAUUACUUGAAUUACUUGCUUAAACCUAUGUUUCUUAGUUACUUUUCAUACAUUUUAUGUUAUUUGUAGGCUAUGACAUAACAUUGGCAUGAAUAAGCAAGGAAAAGAAAUUCGGAUAUCUUUUGGACUAAAAUAUGCAAACAAAUACAAGAAUGGAAGAUUACAGGGCUUUUAACACCAAGUUGGAUGCAUGUUCUUGGCUUGGAACUUGGAUUAUACUAUAGAACUUCUUCUUAUCUUUUUGGAACAUAUUGAAUCAUCC
This 1265-nucleotide long non-coding RNA is filed under the name Panax ginseng (ginseng). RNAcentral describes it as "long non-coding RNA (PGIN_LNC017938)". The record is from RNAcentral. Lineage: Eukaryota; Viridiplantae; Streptophyta; Magnoliopsida; Apiales; Araliaceae.